GGACAGAUGGCCGAGUGGUUUAAGGCGCACGCCUGGAACGCGUGUAUACCUUCACGGGUAUCGAGAGUUCGAAUCUCUCUCUGUCCGCCA
RNAcentral lists this transfer RNA (90 nucleotides) under Alphaproteobacteria bacterium. RNAcentral's name for it is "tRNA-Ser". It matches the Rfam family "tRNA". Rfam says of the family: Transfer RNA (tRNA) molecules are approximately 80 nucleotides in length. RNAcentral also lists the same sequence under 2 other names. The record is from RNAcentral. Lineage: Bacteria; Pseudomonadati; Pseudomonadota; Alphaproteobacteria.